RNAcentral lists this ribosomal RNA (499 nucleotides) under uncultured bacterium. Its description in RNAcentral is "partial 16S ribosomal RNA". It matches the Rfam family "Bacterial small subunit ribosomal RNA", at positions 28 to 523 of the family's 1533-position model. The record is from RNAcentral.
GAUGAACGCUGGCGGCGUGCCUAACACAUGCAAGUCGAGCGAGAUAAAUGUGAGUGGAGACUUCGGUCAAAGCAAUCAUUUUGAAAGCGGCGGACGGGUGAGUAACGCGUGAGCAAUCUGCCCCAUACAAAGGGAUACCCACUGGAAACGGUGAUUAAUACCUUAUAAGACCACGAAGUCGCCUGGCUUAGUGGCCAAAGAUUUAUCGGUAUGGGAUGAGCUGGCGUCUGAUUAGCUAGUUGGUGAGGUAAUGGCUCACCAAGGCGACGAUCAGUAGCCGACCUGAGAGGGUGAACGGCCACACUGGAGCUGAGACACGGUCCAGACGCCUACGGGAGGCAGCAGUGGGGAAUAUUGCACAAUGGGCGCAAGCCUGAUGCAGCAACGCCGCGUGAAUGAUGAAGGCCUUCGGGUCGUAAAGUUCUGUCCUAAGGGAAGAAUACAGUGACGGUACCUUAGGAGGAAGCCCCGGCUAACUACGUGCCAGCCGCCGCCGUAA